This 389-nucleotide unclassified non-coding RNA is filed under the name uncultured Marasmius. Its description in RNAcentral is "sequence contains ITS2". The stretch from base 1 to 52 matches the Rfam family "5.8S ribosomal RNA", at positions 103 to 154 of the family's 154-position model. The record is from RNAcentral. Lineage: Eukaryota; Fungi; Basidiomycota; Agaricomycetes; Agaricales; Tricholomataceae.
AACGCACCUUGCGCCUCUUGGUAUUCCGAGAGGCAUGCCUGUUUGAGUGUCAUUAAAUUCUCAACCUCAAAAGCUUUUAUUGUUUCUGAGGAUUGGAUGUGGAGGCUUUUGCUGGCUUGUUUUAGAGUUUCAGCUCCUCUUAAAUGCAUUAGUGGAAACUUGUUUUGUAGUCCGCAAUUGGUGUGAUAAAUAUCUGCGCCAUUGUACUUGUUGGCUGCUGCUCUUUAGUAGAGUUCGUUUUGGAAAGCUGCAUGAAUUUGCUCUUUCUGUUCUAAUUUGACCUGCUGAGAGUUUGAAUAGGGUAUCUGCUUCAAACUGUCCUAAGUUAAUUGGACAACCCACUUGACUAUUUUGACCUCAAAUCAGGUAGGACUACCCGCUGAACUUAA